This 443-nucleotide ribosomal RNA is filed under the name uncultured bacterium. RNAcentral's name for it is "partial 16S ribosomal RNA". It matches the Rfam family "Bacterial small subunit ribosomal RNA", at positions 338 to 795 of the family's 1533-position model. The record is from RNAcentral.
CCUACGGGGGGCAGCAGUGGGGAAUAUUGGGCAAUGGAGGCAACUCUGACCCAGCAAUGCCGCGUGAGUGAUGAAGGUAAUUUUAUUGUAAAGCUCUUUUCUUUGGAACGAAUCAAUGACGGUACCAAAGGAAUAAGACCCGGCUAACUCCGUGCGAGCAGCCAAGGUAAUACGUAGGGGGCAAGCGUUGAUCGGAAGGACUGGGGGUAAAGGGUGUGUAGGUGGUUGGAGAAGUUAGAGGGGUAAUACCCAGGGCUUAAAUCGGGCUCUGGAUGUAAAACUGUUAUACGUGAGUAAUGGAGAGGAAAGUGGAAUGCCUAGUGUAGCGGUGGAAUGCGUAGAUAUUAGGAGGAACAUCAGUGGCGAAGGCGACUAUCUGGACAGCAACUGACACUGAGGCACGAAAGCGUGGGGAGCAAACAGGAUUAGAUACCCGAGUAGUC